This 207-nucleotide ribosomal RNA is filed under the name Triticum aestivum (bread wheat). RNAcentral describes it as "partial small subunit ribosomal RNA". Lineage: Eukaryota; Viridiplantae; Streptophyta; Magnoliopsida; Poales; Poaceae. The record is from RNAcentral.
AUGGAGGCGGAUGACUGGGAGGAGUUACAGUUGAAAGUAGCCGGGACUAUACGGUUGUGUCUGUCGGACCAGGUUAUUUACCAUGUGAUGGAUGAGAAUUCGCCGAAGAAGAUCUGGAAGAAGCUGGAAAGUCAGUUUAUGUCCAAGACUGCGACGACCAAGGCGUAUCUGAAGCAAAAGUUGUAUGGGAUGAGGAUGCAGGAGGGG